This 72-nucleotide transfer RNA is filed under the name Clonostachys rosea f. rosea IK726. It matches the Rfam family "tRNA". From Rfam's summary of the family: Transfer RNA (tRNA) molecules are approximately 80 nucleotides in length. Their secondary structure includes four short double-helical elements and three loops (D, anti-codon, and T loops). Lineage: Eukaryota; Fungi; Ascomycota; Sordariomycetes; Hypocreales; Bionectriaceae. The record is from RNAcentral.
GCCUUUAUAGUUUAAUCGGUAAAACUCAUAUUUCAUACGUAUGUAACGAAGGUUCGAAUCCUCCUAUAGGCU